UGGGAUGCAUGCUUGGCAAGACCUGUCAUUAGUUUCCAUGAGCACUGCAGCCAUCUUGGGGAAGGAAGCACAGGAGUGAAGUUCAAUUAUAAUCAUUCAUCAGGUUGUUCUCACACCAUCAGACCAUUUGUCUAUUGACCUGCUGGUGUUCCUACUUACUGCAUCUAGAUGCUACAGUCAUCGUGUAUAUUAUAUUUCUGAAUUGUGCUGUACAGACUCUGGUAAUGCCUGGUAAAUUGGAACAUAGCCAUGUCUUUCAACCACUUUGUGGAUUAUAAAAAGCCAUGAACCAUGGAUCACUGUUUUUGUAAAUAGUAGUUCUGGUAUAAUUUUUGUAUGUACA
This 343-nucleotide unclassified non-coding RNA is filed under the name Hevea brasiliensis (rubber tree). Lineage: Eukaryota; Viridiplantae; Streptophyta; Magnoliopsida; Malpighiales; Euphorbiaceae. The record is from RNAcentral.